RNAcentral lists this ribosomal RNA (510 nucleotides) under uncultured bacterium. Its description in RNAcentral is "bacterial SSU rRNA". It matches the Rfam family "Bacterial small subunit ribosomal RNA", at positions 17 to 518 of the family's 1533-position model. The record is from RNAcentral.
UUAUGGCUCAGGAUGAACGCUGGCGGCAGGCUUAAUACAUGCAAGUCGAACGGUAACGACCGGUAGCAAUACUGGGGCGACGAGUGGCGCACGGGUGCGUAACGCGUAUGCAACCUACCCUCAACCGGGGCAUAACGACCGAGAAAUUGGCGCUAAUAUCCCAUGUGUAUGUGAGACGGCAUCGUCUUAUAUAUAAAGAUCCGUUGGUUAAGGAUGGGCAUGCGUAACAUUAGCUGGUUGGCGGGGUAACGGCCCACCAAGGCGACGAUGUUUAGGGGUUCUGAGAGGAUUCACCCCCCACACUGGAACUGAGACACGGUCCAGACUCCUACGGGAGGCAGCAGUAGGGAAUAUUGGGCAAUGGAGGCAACUCUGACCCAGCCAUGCCGCGUGAAGGAAGACGGCCCUAUGGGUUGUAAACUUCUUUUGCCGCAGAGUGACCCGGGGGACGAGUCCCCCGCUGAGAGUAUGCGGCGAAUAAGUAUCGGCUAACUCCGUGCCAGCCGCCGC